This 494-nucleotide ribosomal RNA is filed under the name uncultured bacterium. RNAcentral describes it as "partial 16S ribosomal RNA". It matches the Rfam family "Bacterial small subunit ribosomal RNA", at positions 30 to 507 of the family's 1533-position model. The record is from RNAcentral.
AUUGAACGCUGGCGGCAUGCUUUACACAUGCAAGUCGAACGGCAGCGGGGAGGAGCUUGCUUCUCUGCCGGCGAGUGGCGAACGGGUGAGUAAUACAUCGGAACGUGUCGAGAAGAGGAGGAUAACCACCCGAAAGGGUGGCUAAUACCGCAUAAAUUCUGAGGAAGAAAGCUGGGGACCUAGGAAUAGGCCUAGCGCUUUUUGAGCGGCCGAUGUCGGAUUAGCUAGUUGGUGAGGUAAAGGCUCACCAAGGCGAAGAUCUGUAGCGGGUCUGAGAGGAUGAUCCGCCACACUGGGACUGAGACACGGCCCAGACUCCUACGGGAGGCAGCAGUGGGGAAUUUUGGACAAAGGGGGCAACCCUGAUCCAGCCAUGCCGCGUGUAUGAAGAAGGCCUUAGGGUUGUAAAGUACUUUUGUUAGGGAAGAAAAGUCAGCUGUGAAUAAUGGCUGAUACUGACGGUACCUAAAGAAUAAGCACCGGCUAACUACGUG